UGAAGAAUAUUGGGCAAUGGGCGAAAGCCUGACCCAGCAACGCCGCGUGAAGGAAGAAGGUCUUCGGAUUGUAAACUUCUGUCCCAUGAGAAGAAACAAAUGACGGUACCAUGGGAGGAAGCCCCGGCUAACUACGUGCCAGCAGCCGCGGUAAUACGUAGGGGGCAAGCGUUGUCCGGAAUUAUUGGGCGUAAAGGGUGCGUAGGCGGCCUUUCAAGUUGGAUGUGAAAUCUCCGUGCUUAACAUGGAAAUUGCAUUCAAAACUGGAGGGCUUGAGUGUGGAAGAGGUAAGUGGAAUUCCCAGUGUAGCGGUGAAAUGCGUAGAUAUUGGGAGGAACACCAGUGGCGAAGGCGACUUACUGGGCCACAACUGACGCUGAGGCACGAAAGCGUGGGGAGCAAACA
This 405-nucleotide ribosomal RNA is filed under the name uncultured prokaryote. Its description in RNAcentral is "bacterial SSU rRNA". It matches the Rfam family "Bacterial small subunit ribosomal RNA", at positions 355 to 774 of the family's 1533-position model. The record is from RNAcentral.